GGGCAGCGCGUCCCCGCCGGGCACGGCCCGACCGGACAGCGCCG
Molecule: unclassified non-coding RNA, 44 nt
Filed under: Sorangium cellulosum So ce56
Lineage: Bacteria; Pseudomonadati; Myxococcota; Polyangiales; Polyangiaceae
Description: sce_s2m_45
Source: RNAcentral